CGGGCGAUUUAUUUGAUCUCCUGGGACGGACAACAUCGGGAAACUGAUGGGAAAACGUCUAAGUUGCAGUUUAUUGAUUGUGACGUAAACCUUUGUGUGCAGGAGAGUAAGAUGCCAUCCUAUCAGUUAGUAAGUAGGGUAAGGGCCUACUUAGACGAAGACGGGUACGGGGAAUGAGGGUUUGAUUCCGGAGAGGGAGCCUGAGAGAUGGCUACCAGGACCAAGGUCAGCAGCAGGCGCGAAAAUUAUCGAAGCCCGCCUAGGGGCGAUAGUGAGGAGACGUGUAUAC
Molecule: ribosomal RNA, 289 nt
Filed under: Dictyocoela roeselum
Lineage: Eukaryota; Fungi; Microsporidia
Description: partial small subunit ribosomal RNA
Rfam family: Microsporidia small subunit ribosomal RNA
Source: RNAcentral